AGAACUUCCCCAACCAUUUCCCCUCAGUGCAGCUGGUACCAGCUUGAAACCUAAGACACAUAGCACUGCAGCCCGGCCAAAGCAUGGCUAAUCCGUGUUUCUUUAGACACAGCAGGAAGCUGCUCUGUGGCCUGGUGUCAGGAACCAUCUCAGGGCCCAUGGGUGUUCUGCUUCCUUGGUUUGACCCUGAGGGGUCAGCUGGCAGGUGAAGCCCAUCAACACUGACUCUGUAGACGGGGACUAUCAUCAGCAGCUUAUGGAAGAGAGGGAAGAGGAUGUCUGGGAUUUGAAUCUUUUACUCAGGGCCUUUUCUGGAAAAGCAGUCUCUUUGGAAAAGGAGGAUGAUAGAGGAGUUUCCAUAAGGUGGAAACGGCUCCCUCCAUGUGUGACUGUGAGAAGGGAGUGUCGGUCCAGUGCCAUGUCCCAUUCCAACAGGUGGCCUCCAGUUGCCAUCAGUGCCCUUCGCCAUGCCUUCGUCCUGGGGGUGGCCUGCAGUGUUGGUAGGGGACCCUGCCUUUCCUGGCCAUCCCCAUAGGCCACAGGCCCCUCCAGUAUGCUGCUCCUGCACGGUGCCCAGAGCCUGUUCCACCCCGCCAGGCACCUCUGUCCGUCACAUCGGCUGCACACAUCAGCUCUGCCCCACUCUGUGUUUCUGAAUUACUCUCACUGGCAACCAGCACAAGCUCUGCCCUCCCAGUGUCCUGAUAUCCUCUGGUUAAUAAGCAGCUCACAUAAAGACACCAAGAGCUGUUGCAAGUGGUAGAGAAAAGCCACAGCUCUCUGAAUACAGUCCAGGAAGCCCUGGACUUGGCCCAGGAACUUGGUGGCUGUUUCUGUUCUCUGCCCCUUGGUAGCCUUCCUCACCGGGUAUAAAAGGGAGAGAAGCUUGAAUCCUUACCCUGAGGCAUAGGAGACUACAAGGCAGUGAGGGGCUUAUUAGUCAAUGAGAGACUUUUGCUGAAGCUGGACGACCCUUCCUGGAGGAGUCCUCUUUUCUAAAAGAAAACAAAUUCCUGCCCUUUAUUCUUUCAAAUCUACUUCUAGAAAAGUCUUAGAGUUCCUGUUAAUUCAAACACCAAUCUCCCACCUUCCCUCUCUCCUGUCUCUAUGAGCUGCCUGGGCGGCACACUUCCUACCCACCUGCUCACUCCCUCCAUCUCCUAUACUGUUUUAUCCCCUGGAGUUUGGAGAUGUCCCUGUGGAAGGGGACAGUGGGGAGUGUGUGCCAGAUCCCCCCCGCCCAUUGUCACCUUGGUCUGAAUCCAACCCCACAAGGGGAGCUGGAGCCGUCUCCCUGCAUCUCCCUGGGCCUGCCCAUUGUCAAGGUCCUGGUCACCUUUGAAGCCUCCUGCAGGGAUCCCCAGUGCCAAUGGAGCCUUUUCCAAAGCCCAGUAGCAUGACAUUUUAGACUUGGAAAUCCCUAGACAAAUAAAUCUCACUUAAUC
Molecule: long non-coding RNA, 1445 nt
Filed under: Homo sapiens (human)
Lineage: Eukaryota; Metazoa; Chordata; Mammalia; Primates; Hominidae
Description: HSALNT0194793
Source: RNAcentral